RNAcentral lists this ribosomal RNA (1197 nucleotides) under metagenome. Its description in RNAcentral is "SSU rRNA". It matches the Rfam family "Eukaryotic small subunit ribosomal RNA", at positions 488 to 1720 of the family's 1831-position model. The record is from RNAcentral.
GUUCUCUUUGAGGCCCGCCAUCGGAAUGGGUACAACCUAAAUCCUUUAACGAGGAACUAUUGGAGGGCAAGUCUGGUGCCAGCAGCCGCGGUAAUUCCAGCUCCAAUAGCGUAUAUUAAAGUUGUUGCGGUUAAAAAGCUCGUAGUUGGAUCUGCGGCCGAGGAGAGCGGUCACCCGUUGGGUUGCUACUGCUUUUCCUGGCCUAAUUCUUCGGUUUUCCCUUGAUGCUCUUCAUUGAGUGUCUUGGGUGGCCGGAACGUUUACUUUGAAAAAAUUAGAGUGCUCAAGGCAAGCUAUUAGCUUGAAUAGUGGUGCAUGGAAUAAUAAAAGAGGAUAUUGGUCCGUUUUGUUGGUAAUGGUCUGAUAUAAUGAUAGAGGGGGACAAUCGGGGGCAUUCGUAUUGCGACGUUAGAGGUGAAAUUCUUGGAUCGUCGCAAGACGGACUACUGCGAAAGCAUUUGCCAAGAGUGUUUUCGUCAAUCAAGAACGAAAGUUAGAGGUUCGAAGGCGAUCAGAUACCGCCCUAGUUCUAACCGUAAACGAUGCCAACUAGCAAUCCGCCAGUGUUAAAUGUAUGACUUGGCGGGAGGCUUCCGGUAAACCAAAGUUGGGUUCCGGGGGGAGUAUGGUUGCAAAGCUGAAACUUAAAGGAAUUGACGGAAGGGCACCACCAGGAGUGGAGCCUGCGGCUUAAUUUGACCCAACACGGGGAAACUCACCCGGCCCGAACACCGUAAGGAUUGACAGAUUGAGAGCUCUUUCUUGAUUCGGUGGGUGGUGGUGCAUGGCCGUUCUUAGUUGGUGGAGCGAUUUGUCUGGUUAAUUCCGAUAACGAACGAGACUCUAGCCUACUAAAUAGACACUGGAUUCGGUUGUCCAGUGUACUUCUUAGAGGGACAAGCGGCGUCUAGCUGCACGAGAUUGAGCAAUAACAGGUCUGUGAUGCCCUUAGAUGUUCGGGGCCGCACGCGCGCUACACUGAAGGAAUCAACAUGCAUCUCAACCUUGUCCGGAAGGACUUGGUAACCCGUUGAAACUCCUUCGUGAUUGGGAUAGGGAAUUACAAUUAUUUCCCUUGAACGAGGAAUUCCCAGUAAGUGCGGGUCAUCAGCUCGCGUUGAUUACGUCCCUGCCCUUUGUACACACCGCCCGUCGCUAUUACCGAUUGGAUGGUUCAGUGAGACAUGAGGACUUGCG